GGUCUAGUAGUAGAGUGGCUACCACGUGGGGUUGUGAACCGCAAGGUCAUCCGUUCGAUUCAGGCCGAGAGCA
Non-coding RNA from Neurospora sp. IMI 360204, 73 nucleotides. NCBI's taxonomy places the organism in Eukaryota, Fungi, Ascomycota, Sordariomycetes, Sordariales, Sordariaceae. The record is from the annotation of a GenBank genome assembly.